AAUGGAACCCUGACCUCCUGGUUCCUAGGUGGAUGCUCAGCCCCGAGCCUCGCCGGCCGGGUGGGCUGCAUUUGCACACGGACUCGCAGACCCCAGCUGAGGGACAGGUAAUGGAGACGGAUUGUUUUCAGUCCGACUUCAGCCCCGUGAUCAGGGCCGACCCUGGGCAGCUUCGGCGGCAGCUGCGCGGCUCUGAGGCCCAUUCAGGCCGGGCCGGGCGGGCGCCUCGGCCAAGGGCGUGCAGUUCUCCUCCUCCUGACGGGCUGUUUGUCCCUCGUCUGCCAUCGGGAGGCGGUGCCAGGGCUCACGCGGGGUGUCCUCCCGGGACUCUGUGCUGGGAACGCGCUGUUCUUUUGGGGACGCGGCUUGGAGCACCUGCUCCUCGCAUCCUGCGAGUAAAGAGGCGCGAGAGAGACAUCUUUCUUCAUCAGAAGAGGGAGGGCGGAGGGGAGCCCCUGCCACUGGGAGGGAAACGCGAUUGGCUACGUUAACAAUCAAAAUUAAAAAGCUGUUACUGUCCCCCCGCCGCCCCCCAAGAGAAACGCGGGGCGGGGUGGGGUGGGGGGGAAAUGCCGCCCUUGAACGCCUGGCAUCGCUUCGAAGGCGGAUCCUGGCACCUUCCAGGACCGAGCCCGCCCGCGUGGCGCGAGGCCACCUUAUCGAGCUGGUGCCACGCUGCCAAGUGGAUGAUUAAUUGCCUCGCAGGAGGUGAUGGGCACGGAUGCAGGAUGCAGUUUUCAACCCCGGAGAGAACCCUUCAGCGUCACCAAACUUCGAAAGACGACGCCGCACACCCGGCGGGAAUGGAACACAGCCUCGAAUGUCAGCGGCAAUUUAAAAGUGAAAUUAAAAAA
This is a long non-coding RNA of Myotis davidii, 854 nucleotides long. RefSeq lists it as uncharacterized. NCBI's taxonomy places the organism in Eukaryota, Metazoa, Chordata, Mammalia, Chiroptera, Vespertilionidae. The transcript is spliced from 2 exons. The record is from RefSeq and is a predicted model, not a curated record.